This 817-nucleotide unclassified non-coding RNA is filed under the name Hevea brasiliensis (rubber tree). The record is from RNAcentral. Lineage: Eukaryota; Viridiplantae; Streptophyta; Magnoliopsida; Malpighiales; Euphorbiaceae.
GUUGCAGAUUUUGGGUUAACAAAAUUAACGGUUGGAGGUUCAUCGCUUCCUACACGUAUUGUGGGUACAUUUGCAUACAUGCCACCAGAGUAAGAAACUUAUCUAAUUGACAUGGAAAUAAAAUCUCAGCAUUAAGAGUCAUGAAGAAUUCAAUUUUAACCUGACUUUGCUGGUCUAGAUGUUUUUAGCAAGUUUCGCCAACCUGUAAUGGUCCAAACAAGGAUCCUGGAGAUCUGUGUUUGUGCAGUUAGUGAACAAUGUCGCUUUGUGAUCCUAUUCCUGCCUAUUUAUUCGUGAGGAAUUGUUUGAGGUGGCUAAUAGCUAGGAUUCAAAAUUGGUUCUGAAUAGUCUGUGGAUGAGUGCCACUGAAAUUGUUCACAUGAAGUUUAUCUUCAGAAUUUCAGGACGGAACCACUUAUCAUGGCUAAUGGCAUAAGCUUUCAUUUCUCCAAUUCUGGGUUUUAGCCCAUGCAUCAAUGAGUGGAGAAGGCUACCUUUCAGAUUGGUAGCUCAAUGACUAAAAGAAAAGGGAGGAAUUUCAGGCAGGAAACGUAAGCAUAAUCUAUUGCAAGUUAAAAAGUAUGCUUAGUAUAUUUAAUGGAGUCACUAUAGUAUAGUCAACCAGAGAAAGUCUUAUAACAUGUUUAGUCUUAUGUGAAUAAAUUGAUUUUAUAGAUCUGAUCUAAUGGGGAAAACAAAAGCGCCACUCAUUUAUUUUAUUAACAUGGAUUAAAAUUUUCUGUUUGUCUGCAGAUAUGUAAUUUAUGGAGAUGUUUCUCCAAAAUUGGAUGUCUAUGCCUUUGGAGUUGUCCUUUAU